This 44-nucleotide non-coding RNA is filed under the name Trichobilharzia regenti. The record is from RNAcentral. Lineage: Eukaryota; Metazoa; Platyhelminthes; Trematoda; Strigeidida; Schistosomatidae.
GUUCGGUGACGAGUCCCAAACAGGACGAAAUGCGCAUUUUGGAU